RNAcentral lists this ribosomal RNA (838 nucleotides) under uncultured bacterium. Its description in RNAcentral is "bacterial SSU rRNA". It matches the Rfam family "Bacterial small subunit ribosomal RNA", at positions 524 to 1381 of the family's 1533-position model. The record is from RNAcentral.
UACGAGGGAUGCAAGCGUUAUCCGGAAUUAUUGGGCGUAAAGCGUUUGUAGGCGGGCGAGUGUGUUUAAUGUUAAAUCUUAAAGCUCAACUUUGAAAUUGCGUUAAAAACUGCUUGUCUUGAGUAUGGUAGGGGUAAAGGGAAUUCCCAGUGUAGCGGUGAAAUGCGUAGAUAUUGGGAAGAACACUAAACAGCGAAGGCACUUUACUAGGCUAAUACUGACGCUGAGAAACGAAAGGUAAGGUAGCGAAACGGAUUAGAUACCCGUGUAGUCUUACCCGUAAACUAUGGACGCUAAACGGUAAAUUUUUAAUUUACUGUUAAAGCUAACGCGUUAAGUGUCCCGCCUGGGGAGUAUGCUUGCAAAAGUGAAACUCAAAGGAAUUGACGGGGGCCCGCACAAGCGGUGGAGCAUGUGGUUUAAUUCGACGGUACACGAAGAACCUUACCAGGAUUUGACAUGCUAGAUAGUUGCUUGAAAGAGUAACGUGCCGUAAGGAAUCUAGACACAGGUGGUGCAUGGCUGUCGUCAGUUCGUGUUGUGAAAUGUUGGGUUAAGUCCCGCAACGAACGCAACCCUUGUCUUUAGUUAUUUUCUAAAGAGACUGCCUGUAAUAAACAGGAGGAAGGUAAGGAUGAGGUCAAGUCAUCAUGCCCCUUAUGUCCUGGGCUACACACGUGCUACAAUGGGAAAGACAAUGAGCUGCAAAUCUGUAAAUUUAAGCAAAUCUCUUAAACUUUCUCGUAGUUCGGAUUGUGGGCUGCAACUCGCCCACAUGAAGUUGGAAUCGCUAGUAAUCGCCAGUCAGCUAUAUGGCGGUGAAUCCGUUCCCGGGCCU